This 496-nucleotide ribosomal RNA is filed under the name uncultured bacterium. Its description in RNAcentral is "bacterial SSU rRNA". It matches the Rfam family "Bacterial small subunit ribosomal RNA", at positions 28 to 518 of the family's 1533-position model. The record is from RNAcentral.
GAUGAACGCUAGCGGCAGGCUUAAUACAUGCAAGUCGUACGGGAUCCGAGGUAGCAAUACUUUGGUGAGAGUGGCGCACGGGUGCGUAACACGUAUGCAACCUACCUAUAACCGGGACACAACCUCGAGAAAUUGAGGCUAAUAUCCCAUAACACUGCGAGAUGGCAUCAUUUUGCAGUUAAAACUCCGGUGGUUAUAGAUGGGCAUGCGCGACAUUAGCUAGUUGGUGAGGUAACGGCCCACCAAGGCUACGAUGUCUAGGGGUUCUGAGAGGAUUAUCCCCCACACUGGUACUGAGACACGGACCAGACUCCUACGGGAGGCAGCAGUAAGGAAUAUUGGUCAAUGGGCGCAAGCCUGAACCAGCCAUGCCGCGUGAAGGAUGACGGCCCUAUGGGUUGUAAACUUCUUUUGUACGGGAAAAACCACCGGUCGUGAAUCGGUGCUGAUGGUACCGUAAGAAUAAGCAUCGGCUAACUCCGUGCCAGCAGCCGAC